GCUCUGUGUCCCCACAGGAGGGGUGGAAGACCUGCAGUUCCGCGUGGAGGGAGGAGUCCAUCACCAAGGGAGACCUGGGAGGUAACCGUGGGCAGGGCUUGCGCACACCCAGGACCCUCUUGCCAGCACAUGGCCGCGAGGUCCAGGCAGCCACUCUCGGGGUCAAAGGUCACACCCUGGGCGCUUGGGUGAGGCCAUGGGACUGACAGUGGUCACAGACCCAGACGCAGCUGGAGCAUGCGCGCAUUGGGGAGCUGGAGCAGAGCCUGCUACUGGAGAAGGCGCAGGCGGAGCGGCUGCUCCGAGAAUUGGCGGACAACAGGCUGACCACGGUGGCCGAGAAGUCGCAUGUUGCAGCUGGAGGAGGAGCUGAGCCUGCGGUGGCGGCGAGAUCGAGCAGCUGCAGCAGUGCCUGCUGCACGCUGGGCCCCGCCCCCGACGCACCCGAGGGCCGCCGAGGCACCGCCGCCUGCGCGAGCAGCUGCUGUCGGCCUCCAGGAGCAGCGGCGGAAAGCGGGCGCUGCGGGGGACAAGUGACGGCG
RNAcentral lists this long non-coding RNA (542 nucleotides) under Heterocephalus glaber (naked mole-rat). Its description in RNAcentral is "lncRNA (ENSHGLG00000050215.1)". The record is from RNAcentral. Lineage: Eukaryota; Metazoa; Chordata; Mammalia; Rodentia; Bathyergidae.